UACGUAGGGUGCAAGCGUUAAUCGGAAUUACUGGGCGUAAAGGGCGCGUAGGCGGCCUGUUAAGUCGAACGUGAAAUCCCCGGGCUCAACCCGGGAACUGCGUCCGAUACUGGCAGGCUUGAAUCCGGGAGAGGGAUGCGGAAUUCCAGGUGUAGCGGUGAAAUGCGUAGAUAUCUGGAGGAAUACCGGUGGCGAAGGCGGCAUCCUGGACCGGCAUUGACGCUGAGGAGCGAAAGCUAGGGGAGCAAACGGG
Molecule: ribosomal RNA, 253 nt
Filed under: uncultured bacterium
Lineage: Bacteria
Description: partial 16S ribosomal RNA
Rfam family: Bacterial small subunit ribosomal RNA
Source: RNAcentral